Molecule: ribosomal RNA, 415 nt
Filed under: uncultured bacterium
Lineage: Bacteria
Description: bacterial SSU rRNA
Rfam family: Bacterial small subunit ribosomal RNA
Source: RNAcentral
CCUACGGGUUGUAACUGCUUUUAUUUGGGAAGAAACCCCCCGACGUGUCGGGGGCUGACGGUACCAAAGGAAUAAGGACCGGCUAACUCCGUGCCAGCAGCCGCGGUAAUACGGAGGGUCCAAGCGUUAUCCGGAAUCAUUGGGUUUAAAGGGUUCGCAGGCGGUUUGUUAAGUCAGUGGUGAAACCCUACAGCUCAACUGUAGAACUGCCAUUGAUACUGACGAACUUGAAUAUAGUUGAAGUAGGCGGAAUGUGUAGUGUAGCGGUGAAAUGCUUAGAUAUUACACAGAACACCGAUAGCGAAGGCAGCUUACUAACUGUUAUUGACGCUCAUGAACGAAAGCGUGGGGAGCGAACAGGAUUAGAUACCUGGUAGUCCACGCCGUAAACGAUGAUUACUCGAUAUGGCGAUAU